CUUUAAUUAGGGUACUCUGAGAUAUACAUAAGCUGUUUAGUAGGUGGUUGACUAUCGAUUUACAGCAGAUGUUUCAACUCCCACUGGACACAUCCAGAAUCUCACUUAUCAUAAACAGGUGAUGUCUGUCUUCCUCCUUUUUACCUCUGGAUCUACAUCAGGCAGUGUUCAAAAACAGCUUCUCAAUCCUAAUUGCAUGGACUGUGAAAAUUACACUGCUGCAGCAGGAUCCCUGACACUAACAAC
Pelobates cultripes (western spadefoot toad) is the source of this 246-nucleotide non-coding RNA. The record is from the annotation of a GenBank genome assembly. Lineage: Eukaryota; Metazoa; Chordata; Amphibia; Anura; Pelobatidae.